AUUUGGAAUGGGACAAGAACGACAUCUGGGGAUUUUUACUGUCCUCUGUACUUCUGUUCUUGAGUAUUGGAACUGGUCUUCGGCAGUGAAAGAUGACAUAGACGGGUACACGAGAGUUCAAGUAUGGUCAAGAUAUUACUUAAUUCGGAUAACAACGUCAUGAAAUACGUCACCUCCUGUCGGAAACACGCCUCCUUUCCGAUGUUGAUGUUUAGAACUUUGUUGUACGAGAUUAAUUAUAUUUUAUAAAUAUUUAAAAAUGCCUAUUUUGAUAAAUGUAUUAAUAGUUAUACAUAUAAUUGCACGUGGUCGAUGUAAACAAUACCAGCAAUAUAUCAUGAUGUAAAUAGUAUUCUAGCAUGCAAUAUCAGACUUUUACAAGACUUGUUAGUGUUUUUUGUUUGUUUGUGGUUUGUGGUUUGUUUGCCUCAAGAAAAAAUAAUAUUGCUAUGGAUCUACUAAAAUGUUACAAAGCUUUUAAUGUGGUUUGACUAGUUCGUGUUUCUUGUUUGUCUUGGAAAAAAAGAAUCUAGCUCUAAAUCUAAUAAAAUAUAAGCAUAA
This is a long non-coding RNA of Brienomyrus brachyistius, 561 nucleotides long. RefSeq lists it as uncharacterized. The record is from RefSeq and is a predicted model, not a curated record. The transcript has 2 exons. Lineage: Eukaryota; Metazoa; Chordata; Actinopteri; Osteoglossiformes; Mormyridae.